This 403-nucleotide ribosomal RNA is filed under the name uncultured bacterium. Its description in RNAcentral is "bacterial SSU rRNA". It matches the Rfam family "Bacterial small subunit ribosomal RNA", at positions 356 to 773 of the family's 1533-position model. The record is from RNAcentral.
GGGGAAUAUUGAGCAAUGGGCGAAAGCCUGACCCAGCAACGCCGCGUGAGGGAAGAAGGGUUUCGGCUCGUAAACCUCUGUCCUACGGGACGAAGGAAGUGACGGUACCAUAGGAGGAAGCCCCGGCUAACUACGUGCCAGCAGCCGCGGUAAUACGUAGGGGGCGAGCGUUGUCCGGAAUGAUUGGGCGUAAAGGGCGCGUAGGCGGCCUGCUAAGUCUGAAGUGAAAGUCCUGCUUUCAAGGUGGGAAGUGCUUUGGAUACUGGUGGGCUGGAGUGCAGGAGAGGAAAGCGGAAUUACCGGUGUAGCGGUGAAAUGCGUAGAGAUCGGUAGGAACACCAGUGGCGAAGGCGGCUUUCUGGACUGAAACUGACGCUGAGGCGCGAAAGCGUGGGGAGCAAAC